RNAcentral lists this ribosomal RNA (966 nucleotides) under Clavibacter sp. TSBY-73. Its description in RNAcentral is "bacterial SSU rRNA". It matches the Rfam family "Bacterial small subunit ribosomal RNA", at positions 53 to 1035 of the family's 1533-position model. The record is from RNAcentral. Lineage: Bacteria; Bacillati; Actinomycetota; Actinomycetes; Micrococcales; Microbacteriaceae.
ACAUGCAAGUCGAACGGUGAUGUCAGAGCUUGCUCUGGCGGAUCAGUGGCGAACGGGUGAGUAACACGUGAGUAACCUGCCCCCGACUCUGGGAUAACUGCUAGAAAUGGUAGCUAAUACCGGAUAUGACGACUGGCCGCAUGGUCUGGUCGUGGAAAGAAUUUCGGUUGGGGAUGGACUCGCGGCCUAUCAGGUUGUUGGUGAGGUAAUGGCUCACCAAGCCUACGACGGGUAGCCGGCCUGAGAGGGUGACCGGCCACACUGGGACUGAGACACGGCCCAGACUCCUACGGGAGGCAGCAGUGGGGAAUAUUGCACAAUGGGCGAAAGCCUGAUGCAGCAACGCCGCGUGAGGGAUGACGGCCUUCGGGUUGUAAACCUCUUUUAGUAGGGAAGAAGCGAAAGUGACGGUACCUGCAGAAAAAGCACCGGCUAACUACGUGCCAGCAGCCGCGGUAAUACGUAGGGUGCAAGCGUUGUCCGGAAUUAUUGGGCGUAAAGAGCUCGUAGGCGGUUUGUCGCGUCUGCUGUGAAAUCCCGAGGCUCAACCUCGGGUCUGCAGUGGGUACGGGCAGACUAGAGUGCGGUAGGGGAGAUUGGAAUUCCUGGUGUAGCGGUGGAAUGCGCAGAUAUCAGGAGGAACACCGAUGGCGAAGGCAGAUCUCUGGGCCGUAACUGACGCUGAGGAGCGAAAGCAUGGGGAGCGAACAGGAUUAGAUACCCUGGUAGUCCAUGCCGUAAACGUUGGGAACUAGAUGUGGGGACCAUUCCACGGUCUCCGUGUCGCAGCUAACGCAUUAAGUUCCCCGCCUGGGGAGUACGGCCGCAAGGCUAAAACUCAAGGAAUUGACGGGGGCUCGCACAGCGGCGGAGCAUGCGAAUUAAUUCGAUGCACGCGAAGAACCUUACCAAGCUUGGACAUAUACCGAAACAAUGCAAGAUGUGUGCCCCGCAGGUCGGUAUCAC